AUUGAACGCUGGCGGCAGGCCUAACACAUGCGAGUCGAGCGGAUGAAGGGAGCUUGCUCCUGGAUUCAGCGGCGGACGGGUGAGUAAUGCCUAGGAAUCUGCCUGGUAGUGGGGGAUAACGUCCGGAAACGGGCGCUAAUACCGCAUACGUCCUGAGGGAGAAAGUGGGGGAGCUUCGGACCUCACGCUAUCAGAUGAGCCUAGGUCGGAUUAGCUAGUUGGUGGGGUAAAGGCCUACCAAGGCGACGAUCCGUAACUGGUCUGAGAGGAUGAUCAGUCACACUGGAACUGAGACACGGUCCAGACUCCUACGGGAGGCAGCAGUGGGGAAUAUUGGACAAUGGGCGAAAGCCUGAUCCAGCCAUGCCGCGUGUGUGAAGAAGGUCUUCGGAUUGUAAAGCACUUUAAGUUGGGAGGAAGGGCAGUAAGUUAAUACCUUGCUGUUUUGACGUUACCAACAGAAUAAGCACCGGCUAACUUCGUG
This 484-nucleotide ribosomal RNA is filed under the name uncultured bacterium. RNAcentral describes it as "partial 16S ribosomal RNA". It matches the Rfam family "Bacterial small subunit ribosomal RNA", at positions 30 to 507 of the family's 1533-position model. The record is from RNAcentral.